Non-coding RNA from Phrynosoma platyrhinos (Desert horned lizard), 73 nucleotides. The record is from the annotation of a GenBank genome assembly. Lineage: Eukaryota; Metazoa; Chordata; Lepidosauria; Squamata; Phrynosomatidae.
CCCUUGAUAGCUUAAUUGGAAGAGCAGAGGAGCAUUAAUCCUUAGUUUGCUGGUUCAGUUCCAGCUGGAGGGG